UACGAAGGGGGCUAGCGUUGCUCGGAAUCACUGGGCGUAAAGGGCGCGUAGGCGGCCAUUCAAGUCAGAGGUGAAAGCCCAAGGCUCAACCUUGGAAUUGCCUUUGAUACUGUUUGGCUUGAGACCGGAAGAGGUUAGUGGAACUGCGAGUGUAGAGGUGAAAUUCGUAGAUAUUCGGCGGAACACCAGUGGCGAAGGCGACUCACUGGCCCGAUACUGACGCUGAGGCGCGAAAGCGUGGGGAGCAAACAGG
This 253-nucleotide ribosomal RNA is filed under the name uncultured bacterium. RNAcentral describes it as "partial 16S ribosomal RNA". It matches the Rfam family "Bacterial small subunit ribosomal RNA", at positions 524 to 776 of the family's 1533-position model. The record is from RNAcentral.